GGCCUUUAUUUCAGAAAACUCAACUGUUGCUGCUGCUUUAUAUGAUGAAGGUGCUAUAACAGUAAUCUAUGCAAUUCUGGUCGACUGCAGCUUCAUGCUUGAGAGAUCCUCGAAUAAUUAUGAUUACCUUGUUGAUGAGGGUACAGAAUGCAAUUCUACUUCUGAUUUACUACUGGAACGUAAUCGUGAGCAGAGCUUGGUUGACCUUUUGGUGCCUUCUCUGGUUUUGCUGAUCACCCUUUUGCAGAAAUUGCUGGAAGCUAAAGAGCAGCACAGAAAUACAAAACUAAUGAAUGCCCUUUUGCGACUGCAUCGAGAAGUAAGCCCAAAGCUUGCUGCAUGUGCAGCAGACUUGUCUUCAUCGUAUCCUGAUUCUGCACUUGGUUUU
This 388-nucleotide unclassified non-coding RNA is filed under the name Hevea brasiliensis (rubber tree). The record is from RNAcentral. Lineage: Eukaryota; Viridiplantae; Streptophyta; Magnoliopsida; Malpighiales; Euphorbiaceae.